Molecule: unclassified non-coding RNA, 260 nt
Filed under: Hevea brasiliensis (rubber tree)
Lineage: Eukaryota; Viridiplantae; Streptophyta; Magnoliopsida; Malpighiales; Euphorbiaceae
Source: RNAcentral
GGAUGCAACAGCUGACGAGGAGCUAGAGUAUGAGGAUGAAGAGGAAGGUGAACUUCAGGAGGGUUGAUCUGUGUUUGUUAUAUGGUUCUAAACAUGUUUAUGUGUGCGGUUUGGCGGUGCGACUGAUGUUUGGUUGGAUAUUGGGUUUCUGUUGCAAUUUCUAGUUGCUUUUAGUGUGGGUUAUUGGUGAUUGUCGUUCUUAGUUUUAUUUUUCUAGUUCAGGAUAUUUUUCUAUAUGGUCAUCUGAGGGUAUACCUUGA